RNAcentral lists this ribosomal RNA (254 nucleotides) under uncultured bacterium. Its description in RNAcentral is "partial 16S ribosomal RNA". It matches the Rfam family "Bacterial small subunit ribosomal RNA", at positions 524 to 776 of the family's 1533-position model. The record is from RNAcentral.
CACGUAGGGGGCGAGCGUUGUCCGGAUUUAUUGGGCGUAAAGAGCUCGUAGGCGGCUCAGUAAGUCAGGUGUGAAAACUCCAGGCUCAACCUGGAGACGCCACCUGAUACUGCUGUGGCUAGAGUCUGGUAGGGGAGCAUGGAAUUCCUGGUGUAGCGGUGAAAUGCGCAGAUAUCAGGAGGAACACCAGUGGCGAAGGCGGUGCUCUGGGCCGGAACUGACGCUGAGGAGCGAAAGCGUGGGGAGCAAACAGG